RNAcentral lists this ribosomal RNA (254 nucleotides) under uncultured bacterium. RNAcentral's name for it is "partial 16S ribosomal RNA". It matches the Rfam family "Bacterial small subunit ribosomal RNA", at positions 57 to 305 of the family's 1533-position model. The record is from RNAcentral.
GCAAGUCGAACGAGAAAGCACUUCGGUGUGAGUAGAGUGGCGCACGGGUGAGUAACGCGUAGAUGAUGUGCCUUUUAGUGGGGGACAACAGUGGGAAACCGCUGCUAAUACCGCAUAAGCUUAGUGACAUUGAAAAAGCUAAGGAAAGGGGGCUUUUGGGCUCUCGCUGAAAGAUCGGUCUGCGUGACAUUAGCUUGUUGGUGGGGUAACGGCCUACCAAGGCGACGAUGUCUAACUGGUCUGAGAGGAUGAUC